UACGGAGGAUGCAAGCGUUAUCCGGAAUGAUUGGGCGUAAAGCGUCCGCAGGGGGCUGUGUAAGUCUGCUGUUAAAGAGUGAGGCUCAACCUCAUAAAGGCAGUGGAAACUACAUGGCUAGAGUGCGUUCGGGGCAGAGGGAAUUCCUGGUGUAGCGGUGAAAUGCGUAGAGAUCAGGAGGAACACCGGUGGCGAAAGCGCUCUGCUGGACCUUAACUGACACUGAGGGACGAAAGCUAGGGGAGCGAAUGGG
RNAcentral lists this ribosomal RNA (253 nucleotides) under uncultured bacterium. RNAcentral describes it as "partial 16S ribosomal RNA". It matches the Rfam family "Bacterial small subunit ribosomal RNA", at positions 524 to 776 of the family's 1533-position model. The record is from RNAcentral.